RNAcentral lists this long non-coding RNA (297 nucleotides) under Ananas comosus (pineapple). RNAcentral describes it as "long non-coding RNA (ACOM_LNC022406)". The record is from RNAcentral. Lineage: Eukaryota; Viridiplantae; Streptophyta; Magnoliopsida; Poales; Bromeliaceae.
UGUAUAAUAUAUAAUAUGUAUGUAUUAUAUAUAAUAUGCUCAAUGUAAUGUAAAAAGUUAGGGAUAUGAUAUGGAUUCAAUAGUAGUAAAUAUACGGGGUAAAUAAAAACUAUAUUUCAUAAGGUGUGCUCUAAGAAAGGUGAUUCAUAUAGAUAAUAAUGAGGCUAAGCUAUAAAACAAUAGGAAAGAUGAUUCAGAUAGGUUAUAAUGAUUGAAACCUUUAUAACUGUUGUUUUGACCAAAUUUUCAGUUUGCAUCUUUUUUGAGGAUCCUGUUGGCUAUUUUUUCAGUCUGCAU